Vespula vulgaris is the source of this 638-nucleotide long non-coding RNA. RefSeq lists it as uncharacterized. The record is from RefSeq and is a predicted model, not a curated record. The transcript is spliced from 2 exons. NCBI's taxonomy places the organism in Eukaryota, Metazoa, Arthropoda, Insecta, Hymenoptera, Vespidae.
AUAUAUAUGAUUAUUUCUCUGUAAGAAAAAUAGAGUGGGAUACGAGAUAUAUUCUUUUGAUCUCUUUUUUAUAGGUUCUUCUAUAUUUAAGGUAUAAGUGGGCUUCUUUCUAAGAAUAAAAAUUCCAUGAGCUAUAUCUUUCCAAUUUAAAUCACGUAUUGUAGAUGCGUCCAUUAAGUAUUUAUAUACAACCUAUACAAAAUAUAUUCUACAUAAGAGACAAAAUUUAUUUUCAAAAGUGAUCUUAAAUUCUAAUUCUAUAUCCAAGUAAUAUGGUGAUAUAAAAGCAUUGUCUCUAUAAACCUAUUGAUAUCAAUAUCAGUCAAGAGACAUUAACAUCUUGUUAAAUAACCUCUGCAAAAAAGAAAUAUAAUACUUUUGAAAAAAUGGAACCUAUAAAACCCAUGAAGUUAAUAACAUCAUUUGCAAUCAUUGUAACCGUAAUACACUCUACUUGGUAUCUUUUUCGAGAGAAGUAUGUGCCGAAAAAUGAACAAGGCAAUAUCCCAAUUAUUAUGAUGUUUAAACAUCUUAUAGGACAAAAUGAGAAGAAUAGAAGCAGUGAUAAAAACUAAUGUAUAGUUAAUUUAAAAUAAUGUAUGAUUCUUUGUAAUAUAAUAAAUAAUUAUAUUGGAGAA